GAACCUGCGGAAGCAUCAUUA
This 21-nucleotide ribosomal RNA is filed under the name Armillaria ostoyae. RNAcentral describes it as "partial 18S ribosomal RNA". The record is from RNAcentral. Lineage: Eukaryota; Fungi; Basidiomycota; Agaricomycetes; Agaricales; Physalacriaceae.